Molecule: ribosomal RNA, 279 nt
Filed under: uncultured bacterium
Lineage: Bacteria
Description: partial 16S ribosomal RNA
Rfam family: Bacterial small subunit ribosomal RNA
Source: RNAcentral
UGCCAGCCGCCGCGGUAAUACGGAGGGGGCUAGCGUUGUCCGGAAUUACUGGGCGUAAAGCGCGCGUAGGCGGAUGUUUAAGUUUCAUGUGAAAGCCCUGGGCUCAACCUAGGAACUGCAUCUGAAACUGCCGGUCUGGAGUGCCGGAGAGGGAAGUGGAAUUGGUGGUGUAGAGGUGAAAUUCGUAGAUAUCACUAGGAACACCAGUGGCGAAGGCGGCUUCCUGGACGGUGACUGACGCUGAGACGCGAAAGCGUGGGGAGCAAACAGGAUUAGAUA